Cydia fagiglandana is the source of this 5196-nucleotide RNA transcript. It is a transcript of the gene named alpha-soluble NSF attachment protein, with no coding region annotated. NCBI's taxonomy places the organism in Eukaryota, Metazoa, Arthropoda, Insecta, Lepidoptera, Tortricidae. The record is from RefSeq and is a predicted model, not a curated record. The transcript is spliced from 6 exons.
ACACUAAAUCAAUCGAUGACAGCGACUGAUUUUCGCAGUGUUCUCGGGUGACGACAUUUUGUCAAUAAUUUCUAAAGUUGUUGGGAUUGUAGUAUAUUUCUUUAGUAUUUAGUGUGUUUUUAAGCCACGAAAAUGGCUGAUAAUGAACAGAAAGCAAUGCAGUUGAUGGCGGAGGCGGAGAAAAAGUUGGGUUCAUCUAAGACCUUUCUCGGGUCACUUUUUGGGGGCUCAUCAAAGGUGGAAGAAGCUGUAGACUGCUACCUCCGGGCCGGCAACCUGUUCAAGAUGGCGAAGAAGUGGGCGCAGGCUGGCCAGGCAUUCUGCAAUGCGGCGCAGUUGCACUUGAAGGCUGGCGUCCGCCAUGAUGCUGCCACCAACUUUGUUGACGCUUCCAACUGCUACAAGAAGUGUGAUGCUAAUGAGGCAGUCUCAUGUCUGUUAAAGGCAAUUGAGAUCUACACUGACAUGGGCCGUUUCACUGUUGCAGCAAAGCAGCAUCAGAACAUAGCCGAGCUGUACGAGACCGAGUGCGUGGACCUCGCGCGCGCCAUGCAGCACUACGAGCAGGCGGCGGACUACUUCCGCGGCGAGGAGUCCACCUCCUCCGCCAACAAGUGCAUGCUCAAGCUGGCCCAGUACGCGGCGCAGCUCGAGCACUACGACAAGGCCGUGCAGAUAUACGAGCAGAUCGCCAAGUCGUCCCUGGACAACAGUCUGCUGAAGUACAGCGCCAAGGAGUACAUGUUCCGCGCCGCACUGUGCCACCUGUGCGUCGACGUGCUCAACGCGUCGCACGCCAUCGAGAAGUACUGCGCGCUCUACCCCGCCUUCGCCGACACUAGGGAGUGCAAGCUUAUCAAGGUGAGCCUGGUGUCCCUUACAGUGGACAUGUCUAUUAUAUAACAGAAGUACAGCCAAGGAGUACAUGUUCCGCGCCGCACUGUGCCACCUGUGCGUCGACGUGCUCAACGCGUCGCACGCCAUCGAGAAGUACUGCGCGCUCUACCCCGCCUUCGCCGACACUAGGGAGUGCAAGCUUAUCAAGGUGAGCCUGGUGUCCCUUACAGUGGACAUGUCUAUUAUAUAACAGAAGUACAGCCAAGGAGUACAUGUUCCGCGCCGCACUGUGCCACCUGUGCGUCGACGUGCUCAACGCGUCGCACGCCAUCGAGAAGUACUGCGCGCUCUACCCCGCCUUCGCCGACACUAGGGAGUGCAAGCUUAUCAAGGAACUGAUCGAGCACCUGGAAGACCAGAACAUCGACGGGUUCACCGAGGCGGUGAAGAACUACGACAGCAUAUCGCGACUCGACCAGUGGUACACGACCAUGCUCGUGCGCGUCAAGAAACAGAUCAACGACAACCCCGACCUGCGUUGAAUCCGCACCACCCUCGCCGCACAUGUUAGGUUUGUGUGCUGUAGCUAGGUAGAUUUGUGAGCGUUUCCACCUUUUUUCUAACACUAUAAUAGGCAAAUAAUCAAAGUACCUUCUUCUUUCUCCGUGCCUCUUCCCCUUUCAAUCGGGGUCGGCCCUCUGAAUAUGCUUCCGACAUUUUGCUCUGUCAUAGUAGGUUGCUGGUAUUUUUAGCGACAGUUUCUCCGGGUUUCUCCACCAGGUGGCUUUUGGACGUCCUGACGGUUGAUGGAAAGUACCAUAUGUAAAAAACGAACUAACUGUAUGAGCUAUCUUGCUAUUUGUCGCUGCGCUGUGUAAAGCGUUGGGUAGCGUUUACUACGUCAUCUGCCGACAGUGUCCGCGCUAGGCUCUAAACUCUCUAAAGCAAGGCGCUGUCAACUGUCAAUGGCACGAAACGAUAUAGUGUAAAUGCGCCCCAAACCUGGGAUUAACUUAUAUUUAAACCACGUCGCCUUAAAAUAGAGUAGUGCAAUGUUUUUACCGCUUAUCCAUGUAUAUCCGCAGCGGAGAGUAUUCAUUUGAUUAGCAUUAUUUAACUAACACGGUGGAAAUGCUUGUGAGUUUAUUUAAUCAACAUCUAUCUAAUACUGAUCAGUAUAAUAAUAUUUAUGUGUACUCUAGUGUAACACAACGUUUUACGCUAGAUAUUUUUUUUUACAUUAAUAUUUAGGGAUCGGUGUUAGGUAGAGUUGCAAUGUUACAGUCUGUUUCGAUGUAAAAGCCUUAUUGAACUGCGCGGUAUUUAGACUCGUAUGAUGUCUUCUGAGUAUUAACUACUGAAACAAACUAGUGUGAAUUAAAUGACGUAUAUUACUAAAUACCGCAUAGUAUUUAAAAGCUAGGCACACAUUUAAAAUUCAAAACAUACAAAACAAUAACACUAAGCGCUUAAAAUUUCAUCAAGUACUUACGUCAAUGUGUUUGUUUUGAAUUUUUAAUUUGUUUAUACAUAAAAGCUGUGGUUUAUUAUAAAUUAUGCGAUCGUAAUUUUAAUUAGGAAAAGGAAUUUGUGGUAAAGUAAUCGGAAUGGAAAUCUAAGAUAUCAUGUGAAAGUAUAACGGAAUUGUAAUAACGUUUUGAAAUUGAUUGGUUAGAUCAAUGUGUGACCAAAAGUGGUACAUAUAAUAGUAGCCUGAAUAUUUAAAUCGCAGUAUAUUGUAAGUCUGUGUUUGGACAAACUUCAAACUUUCCCAUACUUAGUUAUGAUACUAUUGUAGGCCGUGCUUUCAAUCCUUUUAUAAGAGCACACAUCGAAGCGGCGACGCGGCUUGACAUGUUAAUGUAGAACAUCAGUGCUAUUCCAUAAUUUAUCUAAUCUCUACGUUACACUACGCCCCAUUACGCUUUUAAUGUACGUGUCCUUUAAAAAGGACAGGAUUUAUACAUGUCAUUUGUAAAUGAUAAGAAUUAACUCGAGUCCAUAUUUCAAUCAGUAUGCUUGUAAUAGGAAGCUGGAAGCAUCAUUUUUAGGACUAGAGGCUAUUUGAUAAGAUCGAUUGUAGUCAACGUUCCUUUUAGUUUACGAAUAGUAAUAUACUAACUGUUACUUAGCAAGUUUACCGACACUUUGCUACUGUCUGUAAAACAUCGCUAGAUGAGUUUAUCAGUGUCUACCGACCGUAGCAAUAAUAGUCUAAAGUCACUUGACGAAAUACGUCUAGUUUUUUUAACUACAAAAAACCCGCUAAUGACGUUCGAUAUCGUACAUAGGUUAGUAUACAUACUUUGUGUAUGCGAAAUAGAUGUCCUAUUUAAAGGACUUGGCAUUUACAGUCACUUUUACGAUAGAUUUGUAAGACGCAAUAUUUAAGAUUUAUACUUAGAGAGUGUAUAAUAUGUAUGUACCUAUUAUCAUAAAUAGUUCACGUUUCAUCAUAAUAAAUUAAACUAUUGAAGUAUAUUGUUUUUCUCACUUCAGUCAUACAACUCGAUCUAAUAAGGUUAACCUUUUGUGGCUGCAGUGUGGGAACAGCCUUACAUAAUGGUUAAUGAAUUUCUGAAAUUCACUCAAUCAGUAUUUCACAUUCAAUAUUGGAUAUAAUUACAUACAUGUCGGGAUGUUUAUUAGCUGGCGAUAAAAAUAUAUAAAAAAAUGGAGGUGUUUAAGGGUUUGGUUUAGACUGGUCUUGAAAAGAAUACAUUUAAACAAAACUUGAAUUUAUUGGAAAACUCUAUGGUGGAUCUUACGAUGUUAAAAUAAUAAUUCGGUACAUACACGGCGGGGUGGAGUUGAUCACUCGAGAUAUAAAAUUGAAGAAAUUUGAACUUAAAAUAAAAUUACAUGAGGUUCAAAUUUCUUCAAUUUUAUAUCUCGAGUAAAGUUUGUCGCCGUGUACAGAAUUAUGGUAUUUGGAAUUCUUUAGAUUGGUUCUUGAGCGAGUGAUUUUCUAUUAGUUUCAUGUUUUUGGUCAAUAGUGUAAUGUAGAGCUUGGUAUUAGUGUUUGCUGAUCUAGGUAUAAUUAAUAGAAUGUAAGCAGGGAAGAAUUUUUAAAUCAUCAUAUUAUGACACAUUUAACUUUCCAUUAUCCAGAGAUUGGGUGUCGGUAGCUAUAUUAUAAAGUUGUAUGUAAUUAAAUGCAAUCAGUCACCGACUUGCAAACGUAACGGACUUGCAAAGACAGGUCCAUGUGACUUUGACUUAAAUAUGCUAAUAAUGUCCGAGAAGGGCAUUGGUUCAUAUUAGAUAGAGAAAAGUUAUAUCUAUCGACACCUCUACUCUGUAUCUUUAGGUAUUUAAAUAAAAGUAAACAAAUAAUUCGUACAUUUCCGGGUAGUUAUAACAUUUAUUGGUUAUCCAACCAAAUACAAAACCGUCUGGAUCUGUCACUGAACGACCUGACUAACCUACAUUAUUUAAUCGUGUAAUGUUUUCACCUACCCUCUACUGGCUUAAGGAGCCAUUUGAGAGUAGAUUUUGUUUACUUUUAUUUAAAUACCUAAAGAUACAGACUAUACAUUUGGCUAUAUAUUUAUGAAGUACCUACACAUAGUUUUGAGUAUAACUUGUUUAUGUCUUAUGUGACUUAUGUCGUUAUUAAGCCAUUCCAAAUUGGCCGUUUUUGUAUUGUACAUAUUUAUUUUAGUGCUUAGACAUAGAUUAAUGUGUCCCUAAUAUUGGGUUAUUUUCAUAUAGCAUUCAAAGGUAGUGUUCGGUUUGUACAGUCGGCACCAAAUGAAAAAAAACAAAGCUCUUAUUAUCUUGGUUAAAUAUGGGUCAAACAGAUCACUGUGUUAUGUCUUUCCUGUAGACAUACACAAGAGUUAAGGGCUAUAAAGGUUAAUUUUCUUAUUUAACCCUUUCAGUUCUCGCGAACACACUAGUUUUCUCUCCUGUGGGCAAUAGUUAACAGCUUGUGGGCAUGUAAGUAACGAUUUUAUCAUAGUUCUGUAAAUAAAAGGAGGACCUUUUCAAGUGGAUAAGGGUUAAAUAAGAAAAUUAACCUUUAUAGCCCUUAAAUCUUGUGUAUGUCUACAGGAAAGACAUAACACAGUGAUCUGUUUGACGCCUAUAUUUAAUAUGGUGUUAACUGCACAACCCCUAAACGUGACCGUUAUAAUAACUUAUUAAACUAUACCAAAAUAAAUUGACAUAUAUACCUACGCUAUUUGUCAAACUAACCCAUAAGUAUGAGUUUACUAAAUCGAUCUAGUAAUAUUUUGGGGGCCUAUUCUCAAUUUAGACUAAACGAUUUCAAACGGUCGAAUAACGAUCUAUCUUUUGUUAUUAUUGUAAAUAUUAUCGUUUCGUUAUGUAAUAAAUUUUAUAUUAUAUUUGUUU